Molecule: small nucleolar RNA, 210 nt
Organism: Cucurbita pepo subsp. pepo (vegetable marrow)
Lineage: Eukaryota; Viridiplantae; Streptophyta; Magnoliopsida; Cucurbitales; Cucurbitaceae
Product: small nucleolar RNA U3
Source: RefSeq, a predicted model, not a curated record
ACGACCUUACUUCAAUAGAAUAUGUUCUAUAGGUUGUAAAAAUGUGUCAUUGAAUUCUAAGGAGCCAAGAACCGAAGUCUGGUGGAUGAACCACUGCUCCGUGGCUAGAGUGUGAGAUUAAUGGCUCAACAGGCUUCGAUCCUGCAGUUUAGAGGAUCGUUCUUGGUAGAGUCUAUCUACUGGGUUGGUUGCAAGGCGGUCUGACAGACU